UGCUCUUCAUCUGCUCUCUUCAGUCCCAACCUGGAAUCGAAUCGCCUCUUCCCUCCGCUCCAGGAUGGUGAAUCAGGGCGAGUCCAAUAAGCGCAUUGGCCAAGCGGGGGACACCGAGAGAGACCAGAGAUGCUACAACGUCUUCCUCUGCCCCACGAAUUUCCUCGCGACGCCAAAGAUGAGAGCCUUCGUCAGGAGCCCUUGAUCAAGGGUACAAGCCAGAGCCACCGCGCCACCAAGUACAAGGAACCUCGCCACAUUGUUUCUUGCCGGUUUCUCUUCUGCUUCCACGAUUUCUGAUUCCUCGCUGUUGGACUCCAGGGACCGAACAAAGUUGUCACCAACCUUAGUGUUGAUCCGGGCCAUCAAGGCACUCUUUGACGCUGGCUCCCCAGCAGCCCUGGCCUCCUGAUAGGCCCGGAGUCCAGGCUCAAUUUUCUUUACACAUCCCCACAUUCCUUGCCGAAUCCCAAGCUUUGCAAUCUCAUACGGGAUACCCAUGUCCUCAUGGUGGAACAGGAGAAUCUCACAGGCUGUCAACCCUCCAUUCCCUCUCUUUGAUUCCACUGUUCCAAUAUCAGUCAAGAAAAAAUUCUGAAUUAGAAAAGUGCCCACAGAAACAGGAAAAAAAAGGAUCACCUUGCAUUCAGUUCUAAUUUUCUGUUAUGCAACUUCUAUUGUUUCCCAGUUUCAAGCAUAAGCAAGGAAAAUGAUUACCUGCACGGAUGCACCAGCUUGAGUAAUACAAGUCAACUCUUCGAGGUUUGUUACGCCGUGGGAUGGAUGAGCAUGGUAUACCCUGCAUCACGUUACCAAUACAUCAAUAGCUGGGGACGAGCACAGAAUGUGAGUAAAUCUACAAAUCUCCAUGGCCACACACACAUUUUAGUGACCCACUCAAUGCAAGUGGAACUAGCCUCAAGACUACUAAUCACUAACAAGAUCAUAAACAAGUUCUUUUACCUAGAAUCGAUAUAAAAAACAUCUUUGUUUAGAGAAACAUCGUAUUAACCACUGUGUACAGUGUAACUGCUCAAAACAAUGUUGAUACAUACUAACUAACUAAACUUUCACUACAAUGUAAACCUAAACGAUUUUCUCUCUUGGGCAUACACCCAUAGAUAGGCUCAAACAAGGACCCUGAGGGGCAACCAUCACCCAUAUUGACUGAUAGAAGAAAAUAAUAGUGACUAGUUCAUAUCAACUAACUGAAAUUUGAUGAAGAAAAAUAGUGAAAACAUUUAUAUAACUGUGUGAAGAAUUAUAGGUAAGCAAGGAGUAAAAUAAGGCACCAGAGAAGAAUACAGGCAGUCAAGAAAAACAGUAGUGGGAUAACAUUUAUUAAGUGAAGACAUAAGAAUGGAGAUUCUAGAAUGCAACAUAAAGAGGACCUAGUUGUAGAGAAAAAAAUUGGGCGAAAAAGGAAGAUUAAAUAGAGAUAUAAUAAUAGAAAUGAAAAUAAAGUUAUCAUGAACAUAGAAGCAGAGGAAAAGGAGCGAUGCAAUUUAACAGUGUACACGAUUCUCUAGAAGUGCAAAAAAAUAAGUAAACUAAAAAAGAAAGAGAAACCUUUAAAAAGCUCCGGCCGUUUCAGGAAUGGAAUUAGACCAAACUAAAAACAUGGGUGGAAAUAUGAAAUACAAUCAAGGCAUUGAUUUAAAGACACGUUAUUGUGGCUUUAUGAUAUGCUUGUGGCUUCUUUAUUGAGAUUACAAAGAAUGGGAGAACACACCAUGUAAGGAACUAUAGCCAGAAUUGACAUAUUUCUAAGUUUGACAUUGACAUAUCUGUUACUUCCUAACCUCCCCUUGCUGUAAAAGGCAGUUACUAUUAAAUGGGGGUUCUUUCCAUAGUUUGCUUUCAAAGGAAUAAUGAUGAAAGGGAAGAAUUGGAGACUUCCCUGUCAACAACUCAACCUUAACAUCAAAACUUCAAUGAUGUUAAAAGCCUGUCUAAGUAAGCGUACUCCAAUGGCGGACAAGUGGCCUCAGGUCAGUAUCAUUAGAUAAAUGUAGCCAUCAAGAAAUAUCAGGGCUAAGAAAUAACCGCUGAACUUCCUACAAGUGACCACCAGCUAGAACGCAAAAGUGUGAUUGCCUAGCCAACCAAUAAACCCAUAUCUGUGCCUAUUCCUAACUGAGUUGAAGGGCAACAACAUAAAUUCUGUCAACAUUACAGUCUGUAUGUAGCGAAAGCUAUAUGGACCAAAUUCAUCCAAGUUAAUAUUUUUGGAUUAGGGAUCAAGCACAAGUCCCCAUUCCUCCUGGAAUCAACCCAAAACAAGGAAGUAUUAACAAAGAACAAGUAAUAGUUUUUCAAGUAUUUUUACCUUUGUGACACAAUAGUAGGCGCCACCCAAUUUCCAUAUCCGACGACCAAUUAUGUACUCUCUGUCACUGCAAAAGAAGGGGAACUGCAACAACACAAGUUCAAAGUAUUAGCUGAUGAUCAUAAAACCAGGAAAACUUAUAGCAAAUAUACCAUCUCAAGACCAGCAUACCUUUCGGACCCAAUGCACUUUCAUCGUUCCGGUUGUCUGGCACUCCUCCAGCGUCUUAUGAUAGAUAAGCAUAUCAUCCCACUUGUUGGACAUCCGGAACUCAUCAUCUCCAAAGAAGUCCCUCACUUCCUCUGGAGUUGCAUUCUCAAAGAUAGUACUACUCUGAUAUUGGGGAGGUCCGGUCUAAUUUCAUCCAAACAAAACUCAAUCAUUAUCGGAACACGAAAUUAAGUAAACAAAGAAGCACACUACAUUUCAAUUUUGCAAAAGAACAGCUCAUGAAGAAUUGUUCACCUGGGCAUCCCUCCUCCACGCCUGGUAGGUCAUGGUGGGCAGCGACUUCUCCAUCAUCUUGAUCCAGGCCGGGCCGCCGUCCCUGCCUUCCACCAGCCUCCAAAGGUUCACCAGGUCUUCCUUCCCCACAGCUAGCUCCUCGUUCGCCAUCUCCGACGACCUGCCAAGCACCACCACCAUUCCGUCAAAGGCGGGCUCCCUUUCACACGCCAAAAUCCACCAAAAACACGGCUUUGACCACAACCCAGACCAAGAACCAUAGCGCAUUUCUCCAAAGUUGGCGAGCCUACAUACCCUUGCGCGGCGGCCUUGUCCUCCUCCCGCUGCUGCACGGCGGUCCCAGCGUAGCCGAGCGGCGCCCGGAGACGGGCGGGGAGCUGGGCCUUCCAGAAGUCGAGCGUGGCGAAGGGCGCUUGCGCCGGCGCCGGUGCAGCGGCGCUGCCGUCGGCGGUGGCGACGAGACCGGCGGCCCAGCGCGGGCGCCAGGCCCAGCCGAGCAGAAGGCCGAUGAGGGCCGCCGCCCAGAGGGGCCCCGCGAGGAGCGCCAUCUCCCAGACCGCCCCCCACGCCGUGGGCUGCUCCAGCACCCUCGCCACCGCCGACAGCACGUACCCCAUCGGAGCCGACCGGGCGGGCGGCGACGGCGUGGGGGGACGGACGCGGCGGUGCGGAUGGGGGGUGUGGGGAGGAGAAGAGGGGCAGGAAGGAAGGAACGGGGCUUUGCGGCCUACGGAGAGGAUUAAAGACUCGAUAUUUUUUGGAUUUUUUUUCUCUCUUUGGGGGGAGGGAAAAGGUGUGGUGCACGAGUAGAGAUGGGGUCAUUGGGGGUGUGCUGGACAUGGUGCAUGGACUAUCUCACUCUCUGCAUAUUUUUAUUUGUUUUUAAAGUCAUAUUUUUGGACUUUGGAGAUUUUGGGGAUUCGAUUUGGUAUUUUUUUUUACUUUGGAGGGUCUUGAAACCUGAGCAGCCAUCUCUCUCUCAGUUAUUUUGACUUUGGGAGUUUUGGGAUGUGUUUUUGUUUUUGUUUAUGAGAGAGGUGAUGUGGUAACAAAAGCAAAGGGGUUGGGUGAGCAGCUUAUUUAUUGGUUAGGAGUGAUAGCACUUAUGUAAAGGUGUUGGUUGCUCCUUUGGUGUUCUAAACUUAGGUUCUGUAGUGCUAUUGCUAUGCGCUCAUCACAUUUUAAUCUAAAAAAAUGUGCUCAUCACGUCAUCUGAUUAGUUGUUGGUUGGGAAGUCGUUUUCUCAAGAGUUCCAUGCUCUCAUGGCGUUCCUUAAAGGUACAAAAGGUGCUAUAAAGGAAUCUAUACAUGCAAUUAGCUAAAGAUUGUACUCUAGGCUUGCCUAACUACAUAGUCAUAUCUAUAAAUUAACAAAAGGGGAAAAUUAAUGUAAGUUCAUUCUUUAUUAGUAAGAAAAAUUAUCACACAAGGUUUACAUCAAAACUCUACCAAAUCUGCACAUUGAAGCAAUCAAUGCGUGAAACUCAUUGCGCGUGGAGAGUAUUAUACAAGCAUGAAGCAUGCUAGAUCGUUCCGUUGACCGGUCAACUUGGUAAACCCUUUUGUACGAGUAUCACUGCUGAUUGACUAUCACCUAUUUUUUAUGAACCAAACUUAAUCACUUAUGAAUGAACUCUUUUCGAGGAGUAGAGUAUGGGCUCACCGAUAGUAGUAUAUUUAUGUAUUGGUCAGAACAGGAAAAAAAAACUCAAAGAAAAACACUUGACCAUGAGAGCCUGAUGCCUACAGUACGAUGGACCGGGUGCAGCGACAUGGAUGGCCAAGCGAUAAGGAGAUUUGGGGGCUGAGGCUGCUGGUGGCGCGUGUCGAUUCCGGUGGGGGCCCAAAUCUCCUCUCCGUCCAACCGCCGCCCGCCACGUCGGCCCGCCCGCACCCCGCCCAAACCACCGGCCCCCCGAUUGGUUCGUGGGCUCGCUCGGCUGGCCCCUCACCGGCGGCGUCGCAUCGCCAGUUCACCGCCACCACAACCAUUACUCGUCAGGUCGGCAUCACGGUCAGCUCGCCGGAACGGUACAGGCACAGCUGUGGCUCUUGCGUAUUUCUUCUGGGGGCUCUUCCGGGUCUCGAGCUUCUCUAUCAACAAGAUCCUUUUCUGUCUUGGCCUGCCCCUGCUGAUGACAUGCAAUGCAAUUUCCUUAAUGGGAUAAGAUAAGCUUUCUGCUGCACGAGUUGACACUUGGCCGGGGUUAAUCCUACCACAAUCUUGCUCUGCCAAUGGCCAUAGAUCACCUGUGUUGUCAAACAGGCUGGAGCUUUGACCCCAUUAUGUUUGUGCACAGGUAGUGUACUAGCUGUACCUGUCAGCAAGACAGUAACAGUUAGCCAACCACUUUAGACACACUUGUCACCCCAGGGUUAGAAAUUUUUGGGAAUUUUCGUUAUCUAUUUAUUUAUUUAUUUAUUACGUGCUCGACCAUGCUAAAAAAAUACAGGAUAUAGGAAUAUUACAUCUCGACCACACCUUUGGUGCUUGGGAUAUUGUAUAGCUAAUAACCUUGCUUGCCCUCCACUCGAGCGGAUGACGACGAGCAUGCCGCAACGGCGCAACACACAUUGGAUGGUCGCAGCCUCUGCAUCUGCCAAAGGACAAGCAGCCUGCUGGCCGUACUUUUAAAUCCCUCUAUUUUCUUUAAUUUUCAGAUACUGUAUAUGUCAAGUAACUAAAACAGAGAAAUGUAUGUAUGCAUGUAUGUAUGUAUGUAUGUAUGUGAGAAACUGCAUUAUUUUUACACACAUUAUUUGGCAAUCUACAAGCUUAGAUGAAGAACUUGGAAGGCGGCCGACCAGCAGUCAUACUCCCUUUUAGCGUCUCUUUCUAAAAGGUAUGAAUGCAAAUAAAAGACACCCCAUAGAUAAGCUUCACGGUUGGGGAUUCUUCUUAAUAGAAGGGAUAUUUGUUGCGACAAGCUUUUGCCUCUUUGGAGAUAGACAUCUUAUGAUGGUUUGGUAGAAACCUGUUUUUACCAUACGUCAAAACAAUAGUUAUAUUGAGAGUGCAAAUUAAUUAUAUUAGAGCAGGAGUGGACCUACAUUAAAAAAAAAACAGAGCGGGCACAUACCCUCACUCAAUAUUUUGAAGCAAAGGCAACCAACAUUUUUUUCACCGUGUACAAGCUUCAUAAAUCUAAAUUUUCUUAAGGUGUGCACCCCUCAAAUCCUAGCUUGGGUCCGCCCCUGUAGAGCCCCAAGCCUACACCUACUGUCAAGUUGUUGCAUGCUUAAAGAAAAACAGAAUUGUUGUCAUCAGAGUUGGUGAGACGCGCAUCCAUCUAGAUGGGUGCAUGUCUCAGGUCAAGGGACAGCCGCUAAGCUUGGCUGGCUGGCCGUGAGCCCCGCCCCGUCCUCUUGUACUUGCUCCGUCCUCGAUCAGCCACCGUGUUAAACGUUGUUGCCUUGACACACGAAACCGACUGCCACGUACUAAUGGUCUACUAAUGCAAUAAUAAUGCUUUUUGCUGGCUUUUCACCGAAAGCAUAUGAUAUGAAUAUGAUUUGCACCUCCGAUGAUCUUAGCUAGCAGUCAACCGUACCAAAGCGGCCAGCCGACCACCAUGUGCUUCUCUCCGUCUCUUCCGCUCAAAAAAUAAAAAUAAAAAUAAAAAAUAAAACCGCGGGCUAGCUUCUCUCGAACUGACGUAAUUUUAACAUCGUCAUUUCCUAUCCGAUUAUGUGUGUAGCUUUGCCUUUGCCUACCUCUUUUUUUUUUAACUAGUGCUCCCCAAGUUCAACUACAUGAUUUACACCCUAGCUAAUAUUUUUACCACGCCAUUUGUUAAUCAUGCGUGUAUACCUUUAAUCAUCAUCGUCAGAACCCGCACGUCAUGGCACACUCCCUCCAUUUGAAAUUACAAAGCUUAUUCAUUUCGUUAGGACAAGGCUGGCUGAUAAUUACUCAUAAUUUAAUUAUUUAUUUUAAUGUGAAUCUAAUAACAAUGUUUUUCAAUGUCAUAGAAAUAUGUAUAUUAAUGAAAUAACUAUUGGUGAAAAUCUUAUCCUAAUAAAACAAAAUACUUUUUUUAAAAAAAAUUUAAACAGAAGGAGUGCAUCUUGCAUUAAUUGGUUGCGAGUAAACAGCCUCUCUUUCCUCUUCUCCUUUACUUCUCUCUUGAGGGGAACAUCAUGAUUUGUUGGGAGACAGGUCUUUAAACAAACAAGGGAAGCUAAUCCUAUGCAUACGAGUUCAGUGGUGACAACUAAGAAAACCACAAACAAAUAUCUAUAAUGCACACAUGUACCUUUCAAUCAUAACCACUUAUGAUUAAGUACACACAUGCGUACAUUGGAGGUGUACGUCGUCUUCUGCUUCCCAGAAAAACACAACGAAAAGAUCAACUAGCCCGCGCUGCAGAUCUGAAAGCAUGCGUACACCGGUAGAUCCUUUUUUUUUUGAGGUUGCGUACACCGGUCGAUCUUAUCCUGUAUGGCCACCCAUUAUCAAUUGCUAUGCAUAAGUUGGAUGCAUUUAACAAGCAUGGUCAACAUGUCCGUUAUUUUCCUUCAUCAGCAUCAACGACAGUUUGAGAACUGUAUUUGUUGGCCUAAAGAAAAUGAUGAAAGCAAAAAAACACGCCCGUUAUUUCUUUUUUUUUUGGGGGGGGAUAGAAAAACACUCAUUUUUCAUAUUUUUAAUGAUGUUUUUAAUUGCCUAACGCGAGUCAAAAAGCAUAAUUUACCCUUAUCUAUAAAUAAAAAUCUUCAGACAAACUCUUUCUAAAAAGAAAGUGCUCUAGACAGAAAAUGCAUAAUAUUUUCUAUUUUUGGUAUGAGAAUAUGCAUAGCUCGGAAAGCGCAGGGGAGAGGUGCUGCUAAUGCGGACAUAAAGCAAUUGGGCUCAAUUCAAAGCCUGGGGCUCCCACGUCACAUGGGUCAUGGCCCGGUCCGACUCUUCUCUCCGGCCCAGCCACCGAAGUGUCGGAUAAGCCGCGCGCGGCCGCGCCGUCGCCGCAGAAACAGAGCGCCGUCGCCGUCGCCAUGGCGUCCCCCUCCACCGCGUUCGUCCCCCGCGCCGGCCUUCCCCUCCUCCGCGCAGCACCCCUGCUCCGCGUCAUCGCCUCUUCCUCGGGCUCGGGGAGCAAGAAGAAGGGGAAGAAGCCCAAGAGCGGCAGCAAGAGAGCCGGCCAGGACAAGGAUAGCAAGGCGCUGGAGCCUCCGGCCCCCGUGGUCCGCCGCGCCCCGGCGGGCAGCGCGUCGAUCUUCCAGCAGCAGCAGGAGGUGGCGUCCAAGGCCGGGGGCGCCGGUGGGAAGGGGCCCACGGAGGAGGAGCUGCGGCAGCGGCAGGCCAACGAGAACGCCUUCCUCCUCGCCUGGCUGGGCCUCGGCAUCAUCAUCCUCGUCGAGGGCAUCGCGCUCGCCGCCUCUGGUAAUUUAUACAGUAGUAAUUUGGUCUCAAACUUACAAUGCCGCAUUUGCUUUGCUUAUUGGUGAAUGGUGAUGGUGAAUUCAGUUUGGCAGUGUACUCUGCUUGCACCUGCCAGGGCGUGUCCCCGUGUGGUGAAAUGCAGUGUUAGUUGGUGUAGUGCUGGAGCAGAAUUGUAGCUUGUAGGCAAUAGUAUGGAACAUCAUCAGAUGAGAAACUAUAGUGUUGAACUCCGUGAGUACAUAACACCAUUGAUAGAUGAUUACAAGCUUUCGUUGUGGCAUUUUUUGAUGAGUUGAAGAAAAUUGUCAUGAUGGUGGCAUUUUGGUUGCUUCUCACGCCAUCAUUCUGUGUGUGUCACAUGGCCAAAGUUUUUAACCCAUCCUAGAACAUCCUAGAGUAGAUCACACACACAUACAAACGCGGAAACACCUAAAUGAAAUCACAUUCUAAUACUCAUGCCUUGAGAAUUUUCAAAUGGAAGAUGUUGGUGCAGGAAUCAUCGUAACUCCGAAAUUGCCAGAUGUGAUUUCCCAUAGAUCCAUACCAUGAUCUGAGGAAGUGUAGGAUGACGCACAAAACUACUGAAGAAAGCAUUUAACUUUGCUCAUCUAAAUGAGAGAGUGUCAAGCAACAGAAGCGAUAAUUUAGUUUUUUGAAACGAACCGGGCAGGAGAGCUGCCGAUUAUAUAGAAGCGAUAAUUUAGUUACAUUCAGGCCACCUAACUAGUAACUACUAGUUGUGUUGUGGGUUUGACUCAUCCAGUAAUUAUGUGCCAAGGAUUUUGAUACUGCAGAACUGUUGAACCAAGUUAAUCAUGUUUUAAAAUUAUAUGUCUUGCAGGUUUUCUGCCAGAGGAGUAUGACAGCUUUUUUGUCAAAUACCUUUAUCCAUCAUUCACUCCAACAGUUGUUCUGUUUUUGGCGGGUACGGUUGGAUAUGGUGUCCUUAAAUACUUUGAAAGUGAGAAAAGCAAAAGCUAGAUAACAGCACAAAGGUGAGACUAAAUAUAAUCAUCUUGUGAAUUUCUGAUAUUUACUCAUCCUAAUUUUCUUCAAGCUUUACUUUACAUUUUAUGAUAUGCUAUGUACUUCCUCAGAUACGCAAAAAUGAUUUGUUACAUUGUAAAGGUUGACAAGUGAAUCACUUAUUUUAGACAUCACAUUAUCACAAUAGACAGAUGGAUGAGUGAAUCUCUUAUUCCAACUUCACGAGGUUAUUUGAAGUUGCUUAAACAUUUUUUGUCCUAUAACUUGUUUCAUACAUGGGAUACAUAGAUGUUCUUAAUUAGAUAGGAUGCUGCAGUAUCUACUAAUUAUAAAUUCCGCACUUGCUGAAGACUCAAGUACAAGAAGGGGUAAACGAGUAACAUUGCACAGUCCUUUAGAGUUAGAUUCUGUAUGCUACACUAAGAGCUUAACUUUUUUAAGCAAAAAGGCGGUUGAUCAUAAUCAUAACUAAGCCUUUUUGUAUGCAUACUUGUUUUUUUUUCCCCGAAUGUUCAGAGCUGAGGAAAAUAUUGUUUUAUGGUUUCCUGACUUUCCUGAUAUAGUAAUAAUGCACCCUAGCAGUUUCAAGUUCUCCAAAAUCAUGUUCCAUACUAAGCUUUUCAACUUUUUUUCCAUAGACCAUGGUAUAUGUCUCUGACUCAUUUACUGCCUCUGGCGGUCUUGCUAAAUUUAUCUGAUCUUAUGUAGCAUGUUUGGAGAAAAAUGUGAGGGGGGAGUUCCUAUUCCUAUAUAGCAAACACGCACGCUAUGUAUAUUACAGCAGGAGCUAUUCCUAUGGAGCAAAGAUGCAUGCUACGCAUGAAGUGUCACGGCAGGAGAUAGGUGCCUGAGAAGUAGACCGGUGUUGUAAUUUCUAUUUUUUUCCUUUUAUCCUGCAUCCGGAAUUCCUGAUUAUUCAUCAGUGGAUACUUCUUGAAUAAUCUGUAUGAAGUUCAGUUGUAUAUUGGUGUUUGAGAUUAAUCAGCUUGUAGAGGUUCCUUGUGAUUGUGGAGAGCAUUUCAAACAUAUGGAUUGGAUGACAAAUUGCUGUCAGAGUUUAACUUGAUUAAAUCGAUGCAUUUUCGUGAGUAUGCUCUAUGUGUAAUAUGUACGGGUUGUUUUUGUACAUUAUAACUGAAUAGAUGGGCAUAUAAAGUGUUUCCAAUCAGUUUUUUAGCACCAAAAAUCAUCAUGAAAGCAGGUUUGCCAUUUCUCACCUGUCCCACCCUAUCUCGUAUCGAAUUUUAAAUCAUUCUAGCUCAUGAUACAAAUUUGAAUAUGCAAGGCAUAUGGUAUAGGAACCAAUGUAAAUAUAAUACGGUACCCAUCAUUGCCAAAUCAUUAUAAACAAAAAGAAAAAACAUUCCUAUUUUUCCAUCAGGGAUCACCUAUUUUCUACCUAUGUAGAAAAUGGUAGGCCUGCUGGUGCGCCCGUCUAGCAACCAUUGAGGAGAUAAUUAUACAUAUCACAUUUCACAAGUGGAAGUACACUACAAAUCUUUAUACAUACACUAUCCAUAUACAACAGGGCGCACAUGUUUAUACAUUACAGAUUUAUAAUUACAAUCACAAAAAACAAAUGCACAGAAUGAAUCUAAACCCGAAUCACCCAACAUUGCAAAGAGUUCAUCUCCAUCAAUGUUUAAAAUAUUUUGAUAGCACAUAGGAUGCAAUGUCACCAAAUCUAGUUUGAUAUUUACAUAAGAGGAUGAAUACCAAAGUAUAUAGUUUGCCUAAAUAAAAUCAACUGGAUGCCAUUGGCCAUGCCAUCAGCGACAUGCACUACGGGAAACAGGGAAGAUGCCGAGUGCCAGGGGCACUCGGCGAAGCCCCAAAAACACUCGGCAAAGCGUUUGCCGAGUGUAACACUCGGCAAAUGACACACGGCAAAAAUCCUGACGGCAAACACUGAUUCGCCGAGUGUUUUGUGUCGGGCACUCGGCAAAGACUUUGCCGAGUGCCCAAAAAACACUCGGCAACCAAUUAUUGAAAAAAAUAAAAAAAAAAGUCAUGCUCCGCCACCUGCUCCGCCGCCGCCGCCGCCACCACCAUCCACACCGCCGCCACUGCCUCCCGAGCAGCGCCGCCGGUGACGGAGGGGAGGGGUAGGGAAGCAGAUCUGGGGGGGAGGGGCGCCGCGGGGAAGCACUACCCGGGGGCGGCGCCGCCGGUGACAGAGGGGAGGGGCGGGGAAGAAGAUCCGGUGGAGAAGUCAGGCGGGCGGCGGAUCCGGUGGAGGGGAUGGGCGGGCGGCGGAUCCGGGGCCCGGGGGCCGGGCGCCGGGCGGCGGCGGAUCCGGGGCCCGGGGGCCGGGCGCCGGGCGGCGGCGGAUCCGAGGCCCGGGGGCUGGGCGCCGGGCGGGCACCGGCGGAUCCGGGGGCGCCGGGCGGCGGGCGGUGCGCCGGGCGGCAGGCGGCGGCAGGGGGCUCCGGGCGGCGAGCGGUGGCGGGAGGGAGAGAGGAGGGAGUAGUGAUGGGUGGGAGUGACGGGGGGGGGGGGGGGAGGAGUGAGGGGGCCGGGCACUUAAGUCCUUGGGCGGCCGGGCACUUAAGUCGCCGAGUGUCCUAGGGGUGACACUCGGUGAAGGGUUCUUUGCCGAGUGUCUACCCUAGGGCACUUGUGGCAAAGUUAUUUUAAAAAAAAUUUAAAAAAUAUCCAACAGUUUCAAAAAAUUGUCAAUUGUCAAAAAUUUACAUGAAAUAAUAUAUAUUCUCUAUUCACUAUACAAAAAGUUUUGUAGUCAAAUCAAAACUCGACCGUCAUUUUGACUCCAAAUCUUAUGCAAUCCUUCUCAACGUUACUAUUUUUCUUCGGAAAUACUUCGGUUUGUAAACAUCGUACGUGAUGAAAUGUGCAAAACAUUCUCAAUUUUUUUCCACAGCCUCCACCUAUGAUAUCAUCACAUCAUGACAAAUCUCAUGAUUUUCAGACUUUGCUUAUUUUUUUUAUAAUUUAAAAAUACCACUACCACACGUUCGUGGUCGUGUUUCCUGAACAAGAUGUUCGAAAUUUCUUGUCAUUUCAUGGGUCAGGUCUCAAAUUGGGCCGAAAAACAUGAAUAUUAUUUUUCUACUCAUUUUGUUCCAUAAUUUGAAUCACUUGCAGUUCAAAUUUGAAUUACCAAAAAUUCCCUUGAAAUGCAAUUAAUUAAAUAAAUAUAGCAAAUAAAUCCAAAAAUAUACCAAAUUUUAACAUGGAGUACCACAUGUUGUAUGUGGGGAGUAGAAAAAAUUUCAUGGUGAAAAGAGGAAAAAAAUUAUUUUUUUGCCGAGUGUCAAAAAAAACACUAGGCCAACCCCCCUGU
RNAcentral lists this long non-coding RNA (12465 nucleotides) under Setaria viridis. RNAcentral describes it as "long non-coding RNA (SVIR_LNC000174)". The record is from RNAcentral. Lineage: Eukaryota; Viridiplantae; Streptophyta; Magnoliopsida; Poales; Poaceae.